This 253-nucleotide ribosomal RNA is filed under the name uncultured bacterium. RNAcentral describes it as "partial 16S ribosomal RNA". It matches the Rfam family "Bacterial small subunit ribosomal RNA", at positions 524 to 776 of the family's 1533-position model. The record is from RNAcentral.
UACGGAGUGUGCAAGCGUUAUCCGUAUUUACUGGGUUUCAAGGGUGCGUAGGUGGACAGGAAAGUCAGUGGUGACAUCUUCGAGCUUAACUCGGAAACUGCCAUUGAUACUAUUUGUCUUGAAUACUUUGGAGGUAAGCGGAAUAUGUCAUGUAGCGGUGAAAUGCUGAGAUAUGACAUAGAACACCAAUUGCGAAGGCAGCUUACUACACAGUUAUUGACACUGAGGCACGAAAGCGUGGGGAUCAAACAGG